Molecule: unclassified non-coding RNA, 234 nt
Filed under: uncultured fungus
Lineage: Eukaryota; Fungi
Description: sequence contains ITS1
Source: RNAcentral
GUAUUGUAUUGCGUUAAACGCGGCGCACAUUCCAUAAGACUUUGCAACGGUGUAUGUGUAAAGACGUAGAACCACAGAAGGAAGACGGCGUGUCCCCCAGACCAUAGAACUACAGAGGGUGCACAGGUGUGAGUGGAUGUGUAAACAGAGCGUGCACAUGCCCCCAUACAGGGACCAGCAACAACUCUUGUUGACAAUUCGGUAAUGAUCCUUCCGCAGGUUCACCUACGGAAA